Molecule: non-coding RNA, 159 nt
Filed under: Pan troglodytes (chimpanzee)
Lineage: Eukaryota; Metazoa; Chordata; Mammalia; Primates; Hominidae
Source: Rfam by way of RNAcentral
GCUGAGUGUGGUUGUGUGCACCUGUACUACCAACUACUCAGGAGGCUGAGACAGGAGGAUUGCUUGAGCCCAGGAGUUCCAGGCUGUAGUGGGUGAUGAUCACGUCUGUGCAUAGCCACUGUACUCUAGCCUGGGCAACAUAGUGAGACCCUGUCCCUU